This 918-nucleotide ribosomal RNA is filed under the name uncultured archaeon. RNAcentral describes it as "bacterial SSU rRNA". It matches the Rfam family "Archaeal small subunit ribosomal RNA", at positions 1 to 922 of the family's 1478-position model. The record is from RNAcentral.
UUCCGGUUGAUCCUGCCGGAGGCCAUUGCUAUCGGAGUCCGACUUAGCCAUGCUAGUCGCACGGGUUAGACCCGUGGCGAAAAGCUCAGUAACACGUGGCCAAACUACCCUGUGGACGAAGAUAACCUCGGGAAACUGAGGCUAAUAUUCGAUACGACUCACACGCUGGAGUGCGGUGAGUCGGAAACGUUCUGGCGCCACAGGAUGUGGCUGCGGCCGAUUAGGUAGACGGUGGGGUAACGGCCCACCGUGCCGAUAAUCGGUACGGGUCAUGAGAGUGAGAGCCCGGAGACGGCAUCUGAGACAAGAUGCCGGGCCCUACGGGGCGCAGCAGGCGCGAAACCUUUACACUGCACGACAGUGCGAUAGGGGGACUCCGAGUGCGAGGGCAUAUAGUCCUCGCUUUUCUGUACCGUAAGGUGGUACAGGAACAAGGGCUGGGCAAGACCGGUGCCAGCCGCCGCGGUAAUACCGGCUGCCCGAGUGAUGGCCGCUAUUAUUGGGCCUAAAGCGUCCGUAGCCGGCCAGACAAGUCCGUUGGGAAAUCGACGCGCUCAACGCGUCGGCGUCCGGCGGAAACUGUCUGGCUUGGGGCCGGAAGACUCGAGGGGUACGUCCGGGGUAGGAGUGAAAUCCCGUAAUCCUGGACGGACCACCGGUGGCGAAAGCGCCUCGAGAAGACGGACCCGACGGUGAGGGACGAAAGCCAGGGUCUCGAACCGGAUUAGAUACCCGGGUAGUCCUGGCCGUAAACGAUGCUCGCUAGGUGUGCCGCAGGCUACGAGCCUGCGCUGUGCCGUAGGGAAGCCGUGAAGCGAGCCGCCUGGGAAGUACGUCUGCAAGGAUGAAACUUAAAGGAAUUGGCGGGGGAGCACUACAACCGGAGGAGCCUGCGGUUUAAUUGGACUCAACGCCGGG